CAUUAUCUUUCCCUAAACCUAACGCAGUUUCUUUACUUUAUCCUGCGUCGUCUCGCCCGAGAGCCCUUUCCCUGAGUUCCCUCCUUCUCCCCAGUCAAAAACCCUAUUCACAGCGUUGUCACCUUUGCGCUUUCUAGGAAAGAAUGAGUAGCCGUGCGAGCCGAACUCUCUAUGUCGGCAAUCUUCCUGCCGAUAUUCGCGAGAGAGAAGUGGAGGAUUUGUUUCACAAGUAUGGACGUGUAGCCCACAUUGAUCUGAAGGUACCACCAAGGCCCCCAGGUUAUGCAUUUGUUGAGUUUGAAGAUGCUCAAGACGCUGAAGAUGCUAUUCGUGGUCGUGAUGGCUAUGAUUUUGACGGGCAUCGGCUACGUGUGGAACUGGCACAUGGUGGCCGUGGACAUCCAUCAUCAAGAGAUCGUUAUAGUAGUCAUAGCAAUGGUCGUGGUGGACGUGGUGGAGUAUCCAGGCGCUCUGAAUUUCGUGUGCUUAUCACUGGAUUGCCUUCUUCUGCUUCAUGGCAAGACCUUAAGGACCACAUGCGACAAGCUGGGGAUGUUUGUUUUUCCCAAGUUUUCCGUGAGAACGGUGGCACAACAGGGAUUGUGGAUUACACAAACUAUGAAGACAUGAAGUAUGCAGUAAAAAAACUUGAUGACUCUGAGUUUCGGAAUGCAUUUUCUCGGGGAUAUGUUCGUGUUAGGGAAUAUGAUUCAAAGAGGGAUGCCUCUAGGAGCCCUAGUCGUGGUCGAUCUUAUUCAAGAGGCAGGAGCUAUAGCCGCAGUCGUAGCCGAAGUAUUAGUCUGGGCAGGAGCAAGAGCAAGUCUCCUAAAGCCAAAUCUUCUCACCGUUCGCCUGCUAGAUUGCAGUCGAGGCCUGCUUCUCGAUCUCACUCUCGUUCUCGCCCUGGUUCAAGGUCCCGUUCUAUGUCAGGAUAUGGAUACAUGCAGCAAAGUGGGGAUUGGAUAUUAGGAUCUUGAUGGGAUUUGGUUCUGUUGCCUGCAACUCUUUUGGUUGUGGAGCAUUGCAAAUGUCCAUGGGUGCUAGAUUGGGAACAAAGGAGAUCAUGGUUGCAAUUUUAAAGCUGGAUAUCUGUGACCUAAGUGGCAUUGGGAUUUGGAUAUCAUCAUCAAUGAGCAGUAGAGAUGAUUUCAUUUUCCUUUUCUGCUCCAACAUUUGCCAAGCUAAUAGGCUGCUCACUGGAUUUUUUUUGGUACAGUAGGGAAAAUUUCUCUUCCGUCCACUGGUGUCUUGAAAAUACCUUCUGAUGCUUUCAUUAAGAUUUCUUGUCUCUAUGAGUUUUUGUCAUGUUUAUAGACUGGAGUUAUAUGAAUUGGCCUGAUAUUUUUUGUUUUGUUGAACUGCUAUAUAUUAUAUUUUUGGCUUUUCCAUGUAUCCAUUUGGAUAUGGUAACUCCGUGGAAGAGGCAUCAAGGCUCUUGGAUCGAAUUUGGUAAAAGGAACAUGUGGGUUUUAAAAUGGGUUGUUUCUGGAACUUUUGCAGAUCCCGCUCAAGAUCCAGAUCUCCGGUGCCUGCGCGUGAGAAACAUAAGAGUAAAAGCCCAAAGAGACGCAGUACAAGCAGGAGCCCAAGCAGGAGCAGGAGCAAGAGCAAGAGCGUAUCCAGGUGAGAUCUGAUUGCAGCUGAUCUGUUAAUCCCUGAAGCACUGAUGAGGGUGUGGUCUUUUCUGUUUUUUGUUUUUCUUUCUACUGUACCAGGAAUUAUGCUUGGCCAGCAAU
Molecule: RNA transcript, 1736 nt
Organism: Juglans microcarpa x Juglans regia
Lineage: Eukaryota; Viridiplantae; Streptophyta; Magnoliopsida; Fagales; Juglandaceae
Gene name: serine/arginine-rich-splicing factor SR34-like
Exons: 15
Source: RefSeq, a predicted model, not a curated record